AUUGAACGCUGGCGGCGCGCUUAACACAUGCAAGUCGAACGAGAAAGGGAGCAAUCCUGAGUAAAGUGGCGUACUGGUGAGUAACACGUGGAUAUCUACCUCUUGGUGGGGAAUAACCUGGGGAAACCUGGGCUAAUACCGCAUAAGUUCGUGAGAAGAAAGGCGCAAGUCGCCGAGAGAGGAGUCCGCGGUCGAUUAGGUAGUUGGCAGGGUAAAAGCCUACCAAGCCGAAGAUCGAUAGCCGGCCUGAGAGGGCACACGGCCACACUGGCACUGAAACACGGGCCAGACUCCUACGGGAGGCAGCAGUGGGGAAUCUUGCACAAUGGGGGAAACCCUGAUGCAGCAACGCCGCGUGAGCGAUGAGGCCCUUCGGGGGUGUAAAGGCUCUUUCGGCAGGAACGAUAAUGACGGUACCUGCAGAAGAAGCUGCGGCUAACUACGUGCCAGCAGCCGCGGUAAU
Molecule: ribosomal RNA, 463 nt
Filed under: uncultured bacterium
Lineage: Bacteria
Description: bacterial SSU rRNA
Rfam family: Bacterial small subunit ribosomal RNA
Source: RNAcentral